Helianthus annuus (common sunflower) is the source of this 1235-nucleotide long non-coding RNA. RefSeq lists it as uncharacterized. The record is from RefSeq and is a predicted model, not a curated record. NCBI's taxonomy places the organism in Eukaryota, Viridiplantae, Streptophyta, Magnoliopsida, Asterales, Asteraceae. The transcript has 4 exons.
UUAAACACAUAUAUAUAGGAUUUGAGGCUUCGAUGUUGAUGACAAACAAAGAGAUGAAAUUCAAUUUCUUUGUUACAAUAUCUCAUAAUUACAUACAAACACAAUAUGCUAUCUGAUCCACAGUUUCUUAUGCAGGAAAGUUCAAAUGAUUAUGAAGAACCGUUUGUUGAUGCCAUUUUCUUGUUAAAAGAUACGUCGAGAACCCAUCCCACUCUUUAUCGCUUAUAAAUGUGGUGUGGUUUUGAGUUGUGAUAUGGCCUAUUGAAUUGAUGACUACAAGGAGUAUAGGUAUGACAUAAAUAUACAUUUGCGUUGGCGAAUUGAUCCUUUGGUGGAUUGGUGAUGUCUUCACAUACAGUAAAACAAGGUGCAAAUCUUUUACCCUCUUAUAUAAUGGAAUAUAAUGGAAGUGUGUUGUUUGUUUUCUUUGUAUCUUAUCGUUAUUAUACUUUAAUAUUUAAUAAACAAUGUUAGUUUUAUCACCGCUCUACCGUCGUACUGGCGGCACCGUCAGCCACUACUGCAACACUUCAUGUCCAGAGCGUGCCGCAUGUAUAGUGAUGUGUAAUUAUCCCUUCUUAUAAGCAUUUGUUCGUCGAAAUUCGAUUACAUAUGUGUUUCUUUUCUGGUUUGCUGGUGCUUUUCUUCAUUAAUGGCUGCUCAAUUGAUGUUCUUCUUAACCUGGAUUAUGCUUGGUUUGUUAUUUUUGGUGACAUAGCGACAAUUGUGAAGGUGGUUCGCGGUGGUUAAUAGCCGCACCUUUGGGUGGCGGUACAGGGGAGAUUGGUGGUGACGACUGCUAGAACUAAGGUUCCAGCGAGGUUCCAAGUAGCCGAUUUCGGCCCCAACGAGUGAAUCCCUGUCGUUGGUAGGGUUGGUCGUCAGUGCCGGUGGUGUUCGUCGCCGACGUUGUCUUCGUGCAAGCAGUAAAAGUUGUUGAAACUUUGUCUUCUUUUGAGGUUUGCUUCUAUUUCACUUAUUUCGUCUAUUAUUUUUAGAUUUGUGUUGUACUAUUUCAUGUUUAAUCAGUAUAUUCGUAAAACGAAACCCACUGUGCACGUAGCUAAAUAUGUAAAAUAGUGGUUGUCUGAUGUAGAUGUAAAUUUUGAAAGUAAUGUUGAUUGUUGAGUACUCAUAUGUUAAACCAUGAUGACUUUAUUGUUUGGGUGCUAUUGCGAGUGGUUCUUCAGAUCUAUUUAUUAAAGUUAUUCCCUUUCUCCUCUCACUGACAUUGU